GAUGAACGCUGGCGGCGUGCCUAACACAUGCAAGUCGAGCGGAAGGACGAGGCUUUUGCUUGGCUGACGUGAGGGGCGGGCGGGUGAGUCACACGAGUAUACCGUACCUAUCAGACUGAGAUCAUUACGGGAAAGCGGAUAUAACACGGGAGAAGAUGUUGAACCGCGGGGGUCAUAGGAGAGAGACGGCGGUGGUGUCCCUAAUAGAGGGUUCUGGGCUGGAUUAGCUAGUUGGUAGGGUAACGGCCUACCAAGGCGACUAUGCGUAGCCGAUCUGAGAGGGUGAUCGGCCACACUGGAGCUGAGACACGGUCCAGACUCCUACGGGAGGCAGCAGUCGGGAAUGUUCGGCAAUGGGCGAAAGCCUGGCGCAGCGAGGCCGCGUGUGUGAUGAAGGUCUUCGGAUCGUAAAGCUCUCUUAUUAGUGAAGAACAGCUGUGUCAUUAGACGUGGCCUUCUUGACGGUACCUAAUCAAAAAGCACCGGCUAACUACGUG
Molecule: ribosomal RNA, 497 nt
Filed under: uncultured bacterium
Lineage: Bacteria
Description: partial 16S ribosomal RNA
Rfam family: Bacterial small subunit ribosomal RNA
Source: RNAcentral